CAAUUUUCAGAGUGUUAGCUCUAUCCUGAAAGGCUGAUCACAAAUAGGUGGCAGGAAUUGCUUAUCAAAAUAUUAUUGUUCAAUCAAUCUUCUAAGCAGCCUCAGUUUCUACAAGAAUAUGACUCCUCAUUUUAGAAGUUAAAGGAUUUUGCUCAUCAGUUUAAGGUGUAUCGUAUUCUGUGUGAUGGUUGUCCCAGCUAAUCUUAAUCAUCUUCCGUGGAUUAAGAGGUUCCUGGAGAGGUCAUUGGUGGCGCACUAUUCCUCAGUGGGUUAGUCCACUGCUGUUCAUAGCCCAAUGUGCCAUUGGGGUGAGGCCCAGCUGGAGGAGGAGGUCACUGGUGACUGCUGUCCCAUCGGAAGGUCUGUCUCUCCCUGGUGCUCUCCCCUUGAGCUCUGCUUCUUGGACUGUCAUGAAGUAAACAGCUCUGCUCCACCACGUCUUUCUCCCAUGAUGUUUCUACCUUGGAGCCAGCUCAUCAUGGACUGAAACCUUGGAAACCGUGAGC
This 506-nucleotide long non-coding RNA is filed under the name Heterocephalus glaber (naked mole-rat). RNAcentral's name for it is "lncRNA (ENSHGLG00000041001.1)". Lineage: Eukaryota; Metazoa; Chordata; Mammalia; Rodentia; Bathyergidae. The record is from RNAcentral.